AUGGCGGGCAAGGAGGAGGUGGAGGCGGCGAGGAGGUGGAUGAUGAGCCCGUGCACCGCCGCCAAGUCUACGGACGGCGCGGCCGCCGGCGACGAUGGUCCGGUGAUGCGGUUCCCCUCCAAGAGGAAGGCGGCUUCCGGUUCCAUCUACAAGGUGGGUGAGCCGCUGCCGGCCAAUGGGUGGAUCCAUCCUGCGGGAGAAGGGGAUCUUUCCGCGUUACAUAGGAGGGAGGCAGCGAUCGACAAGAUGCUGCAGGAGUCCAAGCUGCCAGCCACAGUCAAGCAGGGCACCGAUGCCAACGCCGCCGUCAAGCAGAGCGCCGAUACCUCCGCCGUAGUCAAGCAGGGUGUGUAUUCCUCGGCGGCAGCGGCAUGUGGAAGCAAAGGGAAGAAGUAUCGGCUGAAGAAAAGCGAGCUGAGGACCAUAAUUGCCCUCAGGCCGGAGCCUUACCCCCCGGCAGACGACUAUCUCGAGCUGGCCCCGUUCUUCCCGCCAGGGUGGCUCGAGCAGAAGAAGCGGGAGGAGGAGGAGGAUGCGGUCCAAUUUGCCAGGAUGGAGGCGGAGUUUGAGGCCUUCCGGCAGCAGGUGAUUGAGGGGGUCAAGAAGAACGGCUACUUCGAGGUCGACGAGGACCCCUCGGAUGGCAGGGAAAGGGAGGAGGCUAAUGAAUACGCUAGGCAAGAAAUGGCAGAGAUUGACUUCAGUGAACUCCGUCUCCUUGAUGCUAGACCAAAUCUGCCACAGGCGAAAUUUUUUCCUUACGUUCCUAACGAGGACGACGCUCUUCUAGAUGACAUUCCCAGCGAUGAUGAUGAUUUUGAAGAGGAGGAUGCUCUGCCCAUCCAAGGAGAGGACUUCGAAGGGGAAGCCGCCGCCGCCGCUCACAAGCUUGUUCCUCCUAUUCAGUCCAGCUGA
RNAcentral lists this ribosomal RNA (915 nucleotides) under Triticum aestivum (bread wheat). RNAcentral describes it as "partial small subunit ribosomal RNA". Lineage: Eukaryota; Viridiplantae; Streptophyta; Magnoliopsida; Poales; Poaceae. The record is from RNAcentral.